RNAcentral lists this ribosomal RNA (450 nucleotides) under uncultured bacterium. RNAcentral describes it as "bacterial SSU rRNA". It matches the Rfam family "Bacterial small subunit ribosomal RNA", at positions 354 to 796 of the family's 1533-position model. The record is from RNAcentral.
GUGGGGAAUAUUGGACAAUGGGCGAAAGCCUGAUCCAGCCAUGCCGCGUGUGUGAAGAAGGUCUUCGGAUUGUAAAGCACUUUAAGUUGGGAGAAAGGGCAGUAAGUUAAUACCUUGCUGUUUUGACGUUACCAACAGAAUAAGCACCGGCUAACUUCGUGCCAGCAGCCGCGGUAAUACGAAGGGUGCAAGCGUUAAUCGGAAUUACUGGGCGUAAAGCGCGCGUAGGUGGUUCAGCAAGUUGGAGGUGAAAUCCCCGGGCUCAACCUGGGAACUGCCACCAAAACUGCAUGACUAGAGUACGGUAGAGGGUAGUGGAAUUUCCUGUGUAGCGGUGAAAUGCGUAGAUAUAGGAAGGAACACCAGUGGCGAAGGCGACUACCUGGACUGAUACUGACACUGAGGUGCGAAAGCGUGGGGAGCAAACAGGAUUAGAUACCCCUGUAGUCC